Merluccius polli (Benguela hake) is the source of this 70-nucleotide non-coding RNA. The record is from the annotation of a GenBank genome assembly. NCBI's taxonomy places the organism in Eukaryota, Metazoa, Chordata, Actinopteri, Gadiformes, Merlucciidae.
GGCAGGAUACUCUAAUCGUGGUGAGGGGUGUUUGACUCCCAGGUUCUGGGUUCAAUCCCCAUUUCUGCCU